UUGGAUUUGAUUUUGUGUUUAAGUUUUUUUUAGGUUAUGUGUUGCUUCUGAUGGCAGUACUGACAGCAUCUACUGAUGGAUGCUGAUGAAGAAGAGAAAGAAUAACAUCUACUAAAGGAUGUUGAUGAGAAUGGAUACUGCUAUGAAAGAGGAUGAUGACUAGACAUCUACUGAUGCAUGUUAGGUGAUUAGGCAUCUACUGAUGGAUGCCAAUGAAGAUGAGAA
RNAcentral lists this long non-coding RNA (225 nucleotides) under Vigna radiata. RNAcentral's name for it is "long non-coding RNA (VRAD_LNC013021)". Lineage: Eukaryota; Viridiplantae; Streptophyta; Magnoliopsida; Fabales; Fabaceae. The record is from RNAcentral.